CGGGGUGAGUAAUGUAUGGGGAUCUGCCUGAUGGCGGGGGAUAACUACUGGAAACGGUAGCUAAUACCGCAUAACGUCGCAAGACCAAAGAGGGGACCUUAGGGCCUCUUGCCAUCGGAUGUGCCCAGAUGGGAUUAGCUAGUAGGUGGGGUAAUGGCUCACCUAGGCGACGAUCCCUAGCUGGUCUGAGAGGAUGACCAGCCACACUGGAACUGAGACACGGUCCAG
Molecule: ribosomal RNA, 228 nt
Filed under: uncultured bacterium
Lineage: Bacteria
Description: partial 16S ribosomal RNA
Rfam family: Bacterial small subunit ribosomal RNA
Source: RNAcentral